Molecule: ribosomal RNA, 522 nt
Filed under: Nigrospora sp. PML08
Lineage: Eukaryota; Fungi; Ascomycota; Sordariomycetes; Amphisphaeriales; Apiosporaceae
Description: eukaryotic LSU rRNA
Rfam family: Eukaryotic large subunit ribosomal RNA
Source: RNAcentral
UAGCGGAGGAAAAGAAACCAACAGGGAUUCCCCUAGUAACGGCGAGUGAAGCGGGAACAGCUCAAAUUUGAAAUCUGGCCCUCGGGUCCGAGUUGUAAUUUGUAGAGGAUGCUUUUGGUGCGGUGCCUUCCGAGUUCCCUGGAACGGGACGCCUUAGAGGGUGAGAGCCCCGUACGGUUGGACGCCUAGCCUCUGUAAAGCUCCUUCGACGAGUCGAGUAGUUUGGGAAUGCUGCUCUAAAUGGGAGGUAUAUUUCUUCUAAAGCUAAAUACUGGCCAGAGACCGAUAGCGCACAAGUAGAGUGAUCGAAAGAUGAAAAGCACUUUGAAAAGAGGGUUAAAUAGCACGUGAAAUUGUUGAAAGGGAAGCGUUUAUCACCAGACUUUUUCUAGGGGGAUCAUCCGGUGUUCUCACCGGUGCACUUCCCCUGGUUGAGGCCAGCAUCGGUUUUCGGAGGGGGAUAAAAGCUUCGGGAAUGUGACUCCCUCGGGAGUGUUAUAGCCCGUUGCAUAAUACCCUUCU